AAAUUGACGGGGGCCCGCACAAGCGGUGGAGCAUGUGGUUUUAAUUCGAAGCAACGCGAAGAACCUUACCAGGUCUUGACAUCCCGAUGCUAUUUCUAGAGAUAGAAAGUUACUUCGGUACAUCGGUGACAGGUGGUGCAUGGUUGUCGUCAGCUCGUGUCGUGAGAUGUUGGGUUAAGUCCCGCAACGAGCGCAACCCCUAUUGUUAGUUGCCAUCAUUCAGUUGGGCACUCUAGCGAGACUGCCGGUAAUAAACCGGAGGAAGUGGGGAUGACGUCAAAUCAUCAUGCCCCUUAUGACCUGGGCUACACACGUGCUACAAUGGUUGGUACAACGAGUUGCGAGUCGGUGACGGCGAGCUAAUCUCUUAAAGCCAAUCUCAGUUCGGAUUGUAGGCUGCAACUCGCCUACAUGAAGUCGGAAUCGCUAGUAAUCGCGGAUCAGCACGCCGCGGUGAAUACGUUCCCGGGCCUU
This 474-nucleotide ribosomal RNA is filed under the name uncultured Streptococcus sp. RNAcentral describes it as "bacterial SSU rRNA". It matches the Rfam family "Bacterial small subunit ribosomal RNA", at positions 908 to 1382 of the family's 1533-position model. The record is from RNAcentral. Lineage: Bacteria; Bacillati; Bacillota; Bacilli; Lactobacillales; Streptococcaceae.